AUUGAACGCUGGCGGCAGGCCUAACACAUGCAAGUCGAACGGUAACAGGAAGCAGCUUGCUGCUUUGCUGACGAGUGGCGGACGGGUGAGUAAUGUCUGGGAAACUGCCCGAUGGAGGGGGAUAACUACUGGAAACGGUAGCUAAUACCGCAUAACGUCGCAAGACCAAAGGGGGGGACCUAGGGCCUCUUGCCAUCGGAUGUGCCCAGAUGGGAUUAGCUAGUAGGUGGGGUAACGGCUCACCUAGGCGACGAUCCCUAGCUGGUCUGAGAGGAUGACCAGCCACACUGGAACUGAGACACGGUCCAGACUCCUACGGGAGGCAGCAGUGGGGAAUAUUGCACAAUGGGCGCAAGCCUGAUGCAGCCAUGCCGCGUGUAUGAAGAAGGCCUUCGGGUUGUAAAGUACUUUCAGCGGGGAGGAAGGGAGUAAAGUUAAUACCUUUGCUCAUUGACGUUACCCGCAGAAGAAGCACCGGCUAACUCCGUG
RNAcentral lists this ribosomal RNA (489 nucleotides) under uncultured bacterium. RNAcentral's name for it is "partial 16S ribosomal RNA". It matches the Rfam family "Bacterial small subunit ribosomal RNA", at positions 30 to 507 of the family's 1533-position model. The record is from RNAcentral.